RNAcentral lists this ribosomal RNA (243 nucleotides) under uncultured bacterium. Its description in RNAcentral is "partial 16S ribosomal RNA". It matches the Rfam family "Bacterial small subunit ribosomal RNA", at positions 72 to 339 of the family's 1533-position model. The record is from RNAcentral.
AGGCUUCGGCCUUAGUGGCGGACGGGUGAGUAACGCGUGGGAAUCUACCUAGCGGCGGGGAAUAACAGUUGGAAACGACUGCUAAUACCGCAUACGCCCUUCGGGGGAAAGGCUUCGGCCACCGCUUGAGGAUCCCGCGUCCGAUUAGCUAGUUGGUAGGGUAAUGGCCUACCAAGGCGACGACGGGUAGCCGGCCUGAGAGGGCGACCGGCCACACUGGGACUGAGACACGGCCCAGACUCC